AUGAGUUUAUUUUCAGUGGUCCAUUGGAGCAGACGCAUGGUGUGAUUCGUUUUCAUUUUAAUCAUGUUUAAAAGUGCAAUUUUAUUCUAAUUGUGUCAAAUUUAACUACUAAAAGUUGAGUGCACGCCCGCACUAGUCAAAAUAAAUAUAUGGAAGGAGUUAAAAUAGCUAAAUUAAGCCCAACCUUGGAAAUAUUUAGCUUUACCGAUAUGCAUCUCAGUUGGCCAGUUGCAUCAACUACUAGAGCCAACAUCAAAGGGAUAUGGUGAACAGUGGAAGCGUUAACGCCGCCGCAAAGGAUAGCAGAAAGAUGCGCUGACCGGAGCUGCUCAAGGCGCUGGCCUGGCACAGCAGAUCCUCGGGAAAAAUCUCCAGUAUGGGCAAAUGGCGCCCCGAUGUGGUAUCGUGGCAGGUGUUGGCACGCGCACGCUGUUAAAAGAGGCACUUUAACUGUGGCAACCCUCGUGCAUUGCUUUGUAUUUAGUACAUUCACAUGCAUUUACAACUGAACCUCAACAUGCAAGAAACACGCAACGUAAGAAGCAGAGAAAUCAACACAUGCCACACACACACACACACCAAUAUACCAACACAAGCACGCACCACCACAUGCCGUGUGUAAAUAAUUAAUUACCGCAUACAGAAAAUUGUUCAUAGAUUAACAAAUUAAGGACUGCAAUCUUUUCUAAGGACCUCCGCGAGCCUAUUAGGACACUUUUUUCCAGGAUAGGAGUUAAAUUCAUCCAGAUAUAGCAAUUUUAAGUUAAAAUAAUAGAAAAUAUAUAGUAAAAUUAC
Non-coding RNA from Drosophila virilis, 795 nucleotides. The record is from RefSeq and is a predicted model, not a curated record. Lineage: Eukaryota; Metazoa; Arthropoda; Insecta; Diptera; Drosophilidae.